RNAcentral lists this ribosomal RNA (880 nucleotides) under uncultured bacterium. RNAcentral describes it as "bacterial SSU rRNA". It matches the Rfam family "Bacterial small subunit ribosomal RNA", at positions 53 to 916 of the family's 1533-position model. The record is from RNAcentral.
ACAUGCAAGUCGAACGCGAAAGUCCCGCAAGGGAUAAGUAGAGUGGCAGACGGGUGAGUAAUGCAUAGGUAAUCUACCCUUGAGUGGGGGAUAACUCCGGGAAACCGGUGAUAAUCCCGCAUAAUGUCCAGAUGCGCAGGCGUUUGGAUCAAAGGGGGGGAUCCUUCGGGACCUCUUGCUUGAGGAUGAGCCUAUGUCCUAUUAGCUAGUUGGUGAGGUAAUGGCCCACCAAGGCUUUGAUGGGUAGCCGAGCUGAGAGGCUGAUCGGCCACACUGGAACUGAAACACGGUCCAGACUCCUACGGGAGGCAGCAGUGGGGAAUUUUGCGCAAUGGGCGAAAGCCUGACGCAGCGACGCCGCGUGAGGGAUGAAGGUCUUAGGAUUGUAAACCUCUGUCAGGGAGCAUUAAAUGUACGGGUAUCAACACCACCCGUACUUGACUUAACUCCCAAAGGAAGCCCCGGCUAACUACGUGCCAGCAGCCGCGGUAAUACGUAGGGGGCAAGCGUUACUCGGAUUUAUUGGGCGUAAAGAGAAUUAAGGCGGUUAUGUAAGUCAAUGGUGAAAUCCCCCGGCUCAACUGGGGAAUUGCCUUUGAUACUGCGUGACUUGAGGACUGGAGAGGAAGGCGGAAUUCCCGGUGUAGCGGUGGAAUGCGUAGAUAUCGGGAGGAACACCUGAGGCGAAGGCGGCUUUCUGGACUGGUCCUGACGCUGAUAUUCGAAAGCUAGGGGAGCAAACAGGAUUAGAUACCCUGGUAGUCCUAGCUGUAAACGAUGGAUACUAGAUCUUGCAUGAUUUUGCUUGGUCGAAGCUAACGCGUCAAGUAUCCCGCCUGGGGAGUACGGUCGCAAGGCUGAAACUCAAAUGAAUUGACGG